GGGGCAGUGGCUCAGUUGGGAGAGCGACGCGUUCGCAACGCGUAGGUCGUGGGUUCGAAUCCCAUCUGCUCCACCA
This 76-nucleotide transfer RNA is filed under the name Deltaproteobacteria bacterium RBG_13_52_11b. Its description in RNAcentral is "tRNA-Ala". It matches the Rfam family "tRNA". Rfam says of the family: Transfer RNA (tRNA) molecules are approximately 80 nucleotides in length. Their secondary structure includes four short double-helical elements and three loops (D, anti-codon, and T loops). Further hydrogen bonds mediate the characteristic L-shaped molecular structure. tRNAs have two regions of fundamental functional importance: the anti-codon, which is responsible for specific mRNA codon recognition, and the 3' end, to which the tRNAs corresponding amino acid is attached (by aminoacyl-tRNA synthetases). tRNAs cope with the degeneracy of the genetic code in two manners: having more than one tRNA (with a specific anti-codon) for a particular amino acid; and 'wobble' base-pairing, i.e. permitting non-standard base-pairing at the 3rd anti-codon position. Lineage: Bacteria; Deltaproteobacteria. The record is from RNAcentral.